UGCCGGCGUAGACGACGAUCGCGGUCUGCGCGUCGUUGCGCGUGCGAAGCAGGUCGAGCAGCUUGCGCCGGGCCUGUUCCAGGCGGGUCGGCGACAG
RNAcentral lists this transfer RNA (97 nucleotides) under Pseudomonas aeruginosa. RNAcentral describes it as "tRNA-???(gttg)". The record is from RNAcentral. Lineage: Bacteria; Pseudomonadati; Pseudomonadota; Gammaproteobacteria; Pseudomonadales; Pseudomonadaceae. RNAcentral also lists the same sequence under 3 other names.